CGGACAGCUUGGAGCCCGUGUUUGGGAGCAUCAGGAGGUGGUUGGAGAGUUUGCCCAACUCCAAGCCUCAGAAGCGGGCCACGACCAGCGCCAGGGCCAGCUGGGACUGCCCCGGCCUGCCCAACCUGGGGCAGCAGAGCCACCUCUCUGAGGACACCCUCUCGAGCAGCACCCAGAGGUGGCGACGAGACCACAAAGCCUUCCCGGGCACCCAGGACAUUCUCAACCAGGCGGGCAAAUUGCCCUGCUCCUGGAGCCAGAAACUGGAGUCCUCCCUGCCCCGCCUGGAGCUGAAGCGAGGCGGCCCUAGGGGGUACCAGCUGCUCCUGCCGUCCGCUCUGCAGUAGCAGGCUGGGUGACGCGUGGCCCCUGGACCCCACCCAGCCCUGGACACGGCCUGGGGUGAGGACAGGCCUUCCUUGCCCUAAAAUAAAUGUACAUCCCAGGGGGCUGGGACCUGCU
Myotis davidii is the source of this 462-nucleotide long non-coding RNA. RefSeq lists it as uncharacterized. The transcript is spliced from 3 exons. NCBI's taxonomy places the organism in Eukaryota, Metazoa, Chordata, Mammalia, Chiroptera, Vespertilionidae. The record is from RefSeq and is a predicted model, not a curated record.